AGGCAAGUUUUUAAGGGCGCACGGUGGAUGCCUUGGCACCAGGAACCGAUGAAGGACGCGAGAGGCCGCGAUAGGCCCCGGGGAGCUGUCAACUGAGCUGUGAUCCGGGGGUGUCCGAAUGGGGAAACCCGGCAGUCGUCAUGGGCUGUCACCCAUACCUGAACACAUAGGGUAUGUGGAGGGAACGCGGGGAAGUGAAACAUCUCAGUACCCGCAGGAAGAGAAAACAACCGUGAUUCCGGGAGUAGUGGCGAGCGAAACCGGAUGAGGCCAAACCGUAUGCGUGUGAUACCCGGCAGGGGUUGCGUAUGCGGGGUUGUGGGAUCGCACUUCAGCAGUCUGCCGACUGUUGGGCGAGUCAGAAACCGUAUGGAUAGGCGAAGGACAUGCGAAAGGUCCGGCGUAGAGGGUAAGACCCCCGUAGCUGAAAUCUGUACGGCUUGCUUGUGCGACACCCAAGUAGCACGGGGCCCGAGAAAUCCCGUGUGAAUCUGGCGGGACCACCCGCUAAGCCUAAAUAUUCCCUGGUGACCGAUAGCGGAUAGUACCGUGAGGGAAUGGUGAAAAGUACCGCGGGAGCGGAGUGAAAUAGUACCUGAAACCGUGUGCCUACAAGCCGUGGGAGCGUCGCUGUGCAUGCUUGCAUGCACAGUCGUGACUGCGUGCCUUUUGAAGAAUGAGCCUGCGAGUUUGCGGUGUGUGGCGAGGUUAACCCGUGUGGGGUAGCCGUAGCGAAAGCGAGUCCGAAUAGGGCGAAUGAGUCGCGCGCCCAAGACCCGAAGCGGAGUGAUCUAGCCAUGGGCAGGUUGAAGCGGAGGUAAGACUUCGUGGAGGACCGAACCCACCAGGGUUGAAAACCUGGGGGAUGACCUGUGGUUAGGGGUGAAAGGCCAAUCAAACUCCGUGAUAGCUGGUUCUCCCCGAAAUGCAUUUAGGUGCAGCGUCGCGUGUUUCUUGCCGGAGGUAGAGCACUGGAUAGGCGAUGGGCCCUACCGGGUUACUGACCUUAGCCAAACUCCGAAUGCCGGUAAGUGAGAGCGCGGCAGUGAGACUGUGGGGGAUAAGCUCCAUGGUCGAGAGGGAAACAGCCCAGAGCAUCGACUAAGGCCCCUAAGCGUACGCUAAGUGGGAAAGGAUGUGGAGUCGCAGAGACAACCAGGAGGUUGGCUUAGAAGCAGCCAUCCUUGAAAGAGUGCGUAAUAGCUCACUGGUCAAGUGAUUCCGCGCCGACAAUGUAGCGGGGCUCAAGCGUACCGCCGAAGUCGUGUCA
RNAcentral lists this ribosomal RNA (1270 nucleotides) under Streptomyces sp. H39-C1. RNAcentral describes it as "partial 23S ribosomal RNA". It matches the Rfam family "Bacterial large subunit ribosomal RNA", at positions 1 to 1207 of the family's 2925-position model. The record is from RNAcentral. Lineage: Bacteria; Bacillati; Actinomycetota; Actinomycetes; Kitasatosporales; Streptomycetaceae.